RNAcentral lists this ribosomal RNA (218 nucleotides) under uncultured prokaryote. RNAcentral describes it as "partial 16S ribosomal RNA". It matches the Rfam family "Bacterial small subunit ribosomal RNA", at positions 524 to 741 of the family's 1533-position model. The record is from RNAcentral.
UACAGAGGGUGCGAGCGUUAAUCGGAAUUACUGGGCGUAAAGCGCACGUAGUCGGCUUUGCAAGUCGGUUGUGAAAUCCCCGGGCUCAACCUGGGAACUGCAUCCGAGACUGCAUUGCUAGAGUAUGGGAGAGGGAAGCGGAAUUUCUGGUGUAGCAGUGAAAUGCGUAGAUAUCAGGAGGAACACCGAUGGCGAAGGCAGGUCUCUGGGCUGACACU